This 140-nucleotide ribosomal RNA is filed under the name uncultured bacterium. RNAcentral describes it as "partial 16S ribosomal RNA". It matches the Rfam family "Bacterial small subunit ribosomal RNA", at positions 355 to 492 of the family's 1533-position model. The record is from RNAcentral.
UGAGGAAUAUUGGUCAAUGGCCGGAAGGCUGAACCAGCCAAGUCGCGUGAGGGAAGACGGCCCUACGGGUUGUAAACCUCUUUUGUCAGGGAGCAAACCUCUCCACGCGUGGGGAGUCGAGAGUACCUGAAGAAAAAGCA